AUUUGUUUGACUUCUUUAUUCUUUAGGCUGAAUAAUUAUGUAUGUCAUAUUUUAUGGGAUGAUACUGGCAUAAAUAUCUAAAAGUCAUCAUUUUUAUUACUUACUCUAAGCUAGAUAGGGUACUUUAUAUAUGGGACCACUGCUGCUUUCUGUUUUCUCUUAUCCGAAUGCUUAAACUUUCAUCUAACUAUGUCUUCAUGCAAUUUUGUUUAUGGUGUAGUAUCCAUCUACUCAUUUCUUCAUCCAAUUUUGGAAUCCCAGCUGAA
This 266-nucleotide unclassified non-coding RNA is filed under the name Hevea brasiliensis (rubber tree). Lineage: Eukaryota; Viridiplantae; Streptophyta; Magnoliopsida; Malpighiales; Euphorbiaceae. The record is from RNAcentral.